This 571-nucleotide ribosomal RNA is filed under the name uncultured archaeon. Its description in RNAcentral is "bacterial SSU rRNA". It matches the Rfam family "Bacterial small subunit ribosomal RNA", at positions 422 to 985 of the family's 1533-position model. The record is from RNAcentral.
GUAGUAAGCUCUUUCGGCCGGGAAGAAAUCGCAUGGGCUAAUACCUUGUGUGGAUGACGGUACCGGAAUAAGAAGCACCGGCUAACUACGUGCCAGCAGCCGCGGUAAUACGUAGGGUGCGAGCGUUAAUCGGAAUUACUGGGCGUAAAGCGUGCGCAGGCGGUUUAGUAAGACAGGCGUGAAAUCCCCGGGCUCAACCUGGGAACUGCGCUUGUGACUGCUAAGCUAGAGUACGGCAGAGGGGGGUGGAAUUCCACGUGUAGCAGUGAAAUGCGUAGAGAUGUGGAGGAACACCGAUGGCGAAGGCAGCCCCCUGGGCCGAUACUGACGCUCAUGCACGAAAGCGUGGGUAGCAAACAGGAUUAGAUACCCUGGUAGUCCACGCCCUAAACGAUGUCAACUAGGUGUUGGGUGGGUAAAACCAUUUAGUACCGUAGCUAACGCGUGAAGUUGACCGCCUGGGGAGUACGGACGCAAGGUUCAAACUCAAAGGAAUUGACGGGGACCCGCACAAGCGGUGGAUGAUGUGGAUUACUUCGAUGCAACGCGAAACACCUUACCUACCCUUGAC